Molecule: long non-coding RNA, 15353 nt
Filed under: Populus trichocarpa (black cottonwood)
Lineage: Eukaryota; Viridiplantae; Streptophyta; Magnoliopsida; Malpighiales; Salicaceae
Description: long non-coding RNA (PTRI_LNC004204)
Source: RNAcentral
AUGUUUAGUGAAUACAGUGAGGUCUCAGUUGAAUUCCAACUGGAAGAUAUAAAUGGCAAUCUCUUACCAUUGGAUCUUUGUCAAGUACAUAAAUGUGGGGUCCGCCUACUGUAUGAAGAUGAGAUACAUUGCAUCGACUAUUAUCAUGAUCCAUUGGAAGCAAUGUUCCAAUGCAAGAGAGCAAGCUUGCAAGGCAAGAGAGCAAGGUUCCAAGGCAUGAGUUGGGAGGAUUAUUCUGUCAUGUGUAGGACCUACGAAUUCUUGGUGAGGUUCUUAUUGGAUUUUCAACUUUAUUCCGGAGAGUUAUACCGUAUGUUUCUUUUCUUCUCUAUUUGUCAUGUCUCAUUUUAAAAAGAUGCUAUUUAAAUUGUGUUAACAGGAAGAGCUCGAUGUUUCAAAAAGGGUAUCUAGUUUCCGCUACCAUGGAGAUGUAACUCCGGAGUGGUUUAGCCAUCAAAGUUGGGGAUCAACAGUAACAUGCCAGCUAUCUUCACAUUGGGCUAAUAGCGAGUUCUUGGGUUUCUCUCUUUGCGCUAUCAUUGCAUUUCAUUCUUUCAAACAUAGUUUGCAAGUUAAAUGCACAUAUCACUUCCGCAAUGAGCACGGUGAUAGCCAUGAUCUCUAUUGCUAUCUCCAUGAGGAGAUUGAUGAGAGGCGCAUCGACUCAGAUCACGUACUCGUGGGAUUUGAUCCCUGUUUGGUUGCCAAAGAAAAGGAUAUGUUUAGUGAAUAUAGUGAGAUCGCAGUUGAAUUCCAACUAGAAGAUAUGAACGGUAAUCUCUUACCAUUAGAUGUUUGUCAAGUACAAGAGUGUGGAGUCCGUCUACUGGAUGCCGAAGAUAAAGAUGCUGUGACCAUGGCAGGUGUCCUCUUGAUCGAUAUGAAUUGGAAGCAGUGUUCCAAGCCAAGAGACCAGGGUUCCAAGCAUGAGAUGGGAUGAAAUUGGCUAUGUUUUUCCCUCAAGAAAAAAGAGAAGGCAUAAUUAAUAUGAAUGACACUUGGGUAUUACGGUAGAAAUAAUUUAAUAAUUAUUUUGACGAGGAUACAGAGGGGUGAAUUGCUGUCGAGUCCAAGAAACUUUUAAGAUGAGAAUUGGGUUAUUUUUUUCAUUUCAUGUACCAAUCUAAGAUUAAUGUAUUCUUCUUUCCCUUUCGCAAAAUUUGACAAAAUUCAAACUUUAAUGGAUGAAAUGGAGAGCAAACCAUAGCUUAUCUUUGGAAGUACAUAAGAGUGCAAGUGCAUAUCUUUGAGAGUGUUGUUGUUACUAUAGUUAAAAUUUAGUCUUCCUAGUUUAGCAAAACUAAUGAUUUUUUACUAGAUUUGACAAAGGUUAAUUAAGUCGUUCGCUAACAAAAUAUACCUUCUUUUCUCAAUUUUGUGUUUUUGCAUCCUAUGUACUUAAAAAUUUUAUUUUUAUUUUAAAAAAUUAAAAAAUAAAUUAAAAAAGAUAUGAAAUUAAUAAAAUAAAAUUAUGUUAUUUAUAGAUUUAAAAUUAUAGAAAUUAAAUAAUUAUAUUCUAAUACGACAACAAGCUUUUAUUUUCUUGCAAGCAUUUUUUUAUUUUAUUUUAAUACUGUACUUUUCAAUGUUAGCAUAAAAUGGCAGCACUGUCAUUUCGUAGAACAAUUGAAGUGUAUUGAAGUAUUAUAAAAAUAUCAAAAAUCAUUGUUUCUUCCCAUACAAAAAGCACUAUGGAUUACAACAGUAAUUUAUAGUGCUUUUCUCCUUUUUCUUUUUUGCUAACUUUUCCCUCUUUUUUUUUCAAAUUUUUUUUUUCAAAAUUACUUUUUUUUUCAACUUUCCUAUUUUUUUUUUUUUUUCAUUUAUUUUUUCUUCUUUUUUUCUAAAAUUAUUUUUGUUGAUUUUACUUUUUAAAUAUUGACCUGGUUAAAAUUUUUGUUUUGUAAUUUUUUUCUUUAAAAUACUGUGGAUUGUUGCGAUGUUUAUCCACAUAGUUUUUCUAUUUUAUUUCUUUAUUCUUCAAAAUUAUAUUUGUCGAUUUUUUUUUAAUAUCGAGCUGAUUGAGAAUUUAGUUUUAUAUUUUUUUCUUUAAAACAUUGUUGAUUGCUACAAUAUUUCUCCGCAUGGUUUUUUUUAUGAUUUUCUCUGAAAUUAUCUUUUUUUUAUUUUAUUUUUUAAUAUGGAGCUAGUUAAAAAUUACAGUUACAAUAUGUGAGGAAAGCACUGUAACUUUCCUCGAAAAUUACUGUUGAUUGCUACAGUGUUUUUUCCCACAUGGUUUUUUCCUGUUUUUGUUAUGUUUUUCCCUAAAAUUAUCUUUGUCAAUUUUAUUUUUUAAAUAUUAAGCUAGUUAAGAAUUGCAAUUACAAGUAAAUACAAGUUUUUCCUCACAAAACACUAUGGAUUGAUACAGUUUUUCCUCACAUGGUUUUUUUCUAGUUUCUUUUGUGUUUUCUUUUUUUAUAAUAUUUUUUUCCAAAAUUAUUUUCGUCGAUUUUUUUUUAAUAUUGAGUUGGUUAGAAUUUAACUUUGUAAUAAAGCUUAAUCACGUGGGGAAGACAUUGUAGCUUUGCUCAUAAAACAUUGUGGAUUGCUACAGUGUCUCUCCGCAUGGUUUUUUUUUGUUAUAAUUUUUUUCAAAUUAUCUUUUUCAAUUUUAUUUUUUUUAAUAUUGAGUUGUUUGUGAAUUACAAUUACAUGUCAUUACAAAUAAGGCUAAAUCAUGUGGGGAAGCACUAUAGCUUUCAUCACAAAACACUGUGAAUUGUUACAGUGUUUCUAAAAUGAUUUUUUCCCCCUUUUUUGGUGUUUGUUUUGUUAUUUUUUUUUCUAAAAUUGUCUAUGUCGAUUUUUUUUUAAUAUUAAGCUGAUUAGGAAUUUAACUUUGUAUUUGUUUUCUUUAAAACACUGUGAAUUGUUGCAGUGUUUUUCCAUGUGAUUUUUUUAUGAUUUUUUUCAAAAUUAUCUUUGUCAAUGUUUUUUUGAAUAUUUAGUUGGUUAAGAAUUAUAAUUACAAUAAAGCUAAAUCAUAUGAGGAAAGCGUUGUAGUUUUUCUCACAAAACACUGUGGAUUGCUACAAUAUUUCUCUAAAUGGUUUUUUAUUUUAUUUUAUUGGAAAAAGCGCUAUAGUUUUCCUCACAGAACGUUGUCAAUUGCUAUAAUGUUUUUUCUCAUGGGUUUUUCUCUUUCCAAAAUUAUCUUUGUUCGUUUUUUUUAAAUAUUAAGUUGGUAGAGAAUUUAGUUUUGUAAUUUUUUUUCUUUUUAUUAACUGAAAAGCUAAAUCAUGUGGCGAAAGCAUUGUAUCUUUCCUCACAAAACGCUGUAGAUUGCUACAAAUUAUUUUGUUCAGUCUCUAAGUUUUUGAUCACCAACAUAACUUUUUUCCUGUCAUGAAAUAUUUGUUCCAUCAUACCUUUAAUUUCUAUUACUUAUCUAGCGUUGGUUCACAAUUAUAAUACUAUCAAGUGCAUUUGUUUUAUAAGCCUGCGGCAGCACGCGGGCAUGUCAUCUCGUUGUAACUAAGAGAAGUAAAAUACCUGUUUUUUUUAAGAUAUUGUUUUAGAAGGUAAAUAGCUUAAUAUAUUAUUAUAUCAUUACACUAAUAUGUCUCUACGUUUUCAAAUAUUUUUUAUUAUGUAUUUCCAUGAUAUCUAUUUUUUUAAUACAUCAUUUUAACAAGUUUUACCAAUCAAUUUGACAAAAUUUCAUUUCAUCAUUUUCGUGAGCUAGCAUGGAUGAUUUUAUUUCUUUGAAAAAAAUAAAAUAUUUAUUUCUAAAAUCUUUUAUUCUUAAGUAAUUUUGAAAUUUUAAUUUUUUAAAACAUAAAAGCAUUUUUGACGAAGGAAGACACCAAUCCGUCUGUGUGAUACGCAGAAUUUACCUUCUGCUUACAAGUUAUUGCAUACUCCACAGCAUAACCUUUUUCCAGCCCAUUUAAUUACAAGUUCAACACAUGAGGGCUCUACCCCAGACCCUUCUAGGAAAGUCAACCCCGUGCUUCCCUUAAGCUGUCCACCUCUAAGUGCCUAUUUUUGGUAAGUUUUAAAACUAUAAUAAUAAUUAUUUUUAUUAUAUGUUAACUCGGGUUAAUUUAAAUUGAUUUUCUCUACCCGUGACUCAAUAUUACCCCUAUCGACUCUCAAAUUGAGUUUUAUAACUAUGAUAAUAACUAAUUUUGUUUUUAUGUUGACCAAGAUUAAUGAUCAACCUCACUCGUAAACCAAGCUUUAUUUUAGGUUAACCUAUGAAUCAAAUUUUAAAAUUAUAAUAACAAUUAUUUUCACCUUUGCACUUACUACUCGAUCCAUGACAUGGGCUUUGACCAGUAACCUAAGCUUUGUUCGAGAUCAGCCUUGGAGUUUCCUUUUACAUACACACACAAGGUUAUACUCCUUGUUUAAUAAUAAGGGAUGCUGUUUAUAGAAACUAUUAACUGUUAGCGUAUUAAUUAAAAAAUUAUUCAAGUAACCAAUAAAACUUAUAUUAAAUAUUUUUGAUGAAAUAUAGAAGAUAAAAAUAAUCAAGAAAACUAUCUACAAUUCUCAAUCAACAUAAAUUGAAUUCCUAUAAAUUAUGUAAAAGUUUAUAACAUAGUAGAUGUAUUAUAUAUUAUAUGGAUUUUGUCUUUCAAUCAAAAUUUUUAAAUAAAAUAAUGAAAUCAAGUGGUACAAUAGUUUUUCUACAAAAAAAAAUCAAAAGUAAUUAAGAACUGAAACUCAACAUGAAUCAACAAUUUAAAAUAUAUUAUAUAUAUUUUUAAAAUUUGAUUACUUUUUUAUUCUAGUUUUAAAUGGAUUUUUUUAAUUUAAAUUUAAUCAAUACAAAAACUUAUACAUUGAUUCUAAGUAGUAAAAUGCUAUAAAAUUUGUACAGAAUCUGGUUUAAUAAUUAUAUUUAUGAUUAAACACAUGAAUUAAAUUGGAGCAGGGGAAGUAGGGCGUGUGAUCUUCUCCUCUUACUCCUGGCAACUGAGGUCAUGUGGCUUACUUGAGAAAGGAGUGGAGGAAAACAAUUAUCUUGGUGUUGGAAUGCAAGCGCCACUAUGGUAAUGUAAUGAAGGGUGUGUUUGUGAGAGAUGUAUGGUUGAUUUAAUCCUUUUAAAAAUACAAAUUAUACUUUGAAAAAACUAACCUCCCAAGCACACAUACUAAGAAGUAUUAACCUUGAUAUUUUUAUGACCAACAUAAAAACUUCAUAUGUUCAUUAUAAUAUCCUUUAAAAAUUUAAAUUUACCUCCCAACAUAACAAAGGGAUCAACUUUGCUUUCUAAUCAAAAGUCUAAAGACUCAAAUUGAUUUUAAAAACAUGCCAAAAUAGUAAUUGAUCAAUAAAAAAUAUCAUUCAACUUAUUAUUAAAGGAAAAAAUAUCGGUUUAUAUAUAAUUCCUUUUUUUAUAUAUACCAAAUUAACAUUUUCAGUUAAGAUGUUAAGGUGGUGAAUUUUGACAAAAAAUAAAAUAAAAAUAAUUUGGGAAUGCUUUUGCAACGAUGAAUAAACUGAAAGGAUAAAGCUUCGUUUCCUAAAAGACCUUUUGAUAAUUGGAUGUCAUGACCGAUCCAUUUACCCAUAUUAAUUAAUUAAUAAUUUCAUUAAGACAAAGUGGGUUUCAGCUAUAGUAAAAGAAUUGGUAUCUAUCCCUAUUUUUCUCACUUGUUCAAUUUGAAAAUAUUUAAAGUAUUGGUUGAGCGUUGAGAGGACGAUACCAUUUUAAAUUUACCUCCCAACAUAACAAAGGGAUCAACUUUGCUUUCUAAUCAAAAGUCUAAAGACUCAAAUUGAUUUUAAAAACAUGCCAAAAUAGUAAUUGAUCAAUAAAAAAUAUCAUUCAACUUAUUAUCUCACCAGGUUAGCCGAGUCAGCCAGAUUUUUAACUACUUUUAUUUUUUUAUAAAAUCGAUCUGGUUCAAGCCUCGGAUUAACGAAGUCUCAAAUUAUCCGCCAAACCAAGCUGGAAUUUAAAACUAUAAAUGAGACAAGAGCCGAUGGCCCACGUCGUCUCUGGGGCAGCAGUUAUUUUAGACUGUGUUUGCAGGCUUUUCAGUUUGAGCCUAUGUUAAUUUCCUAAACUGGGCUUUCCCUUGACUUAGCCUAGGGAAUGCUUUUCCACGUUAUGAUGUGAGAGACCUAAUUUUUUAAAAAUCUAAAAAAAAUAUAUAGGUUUCAUAAAAUAUUUUAGUAUUAUUAUUAAAUUUGAAAAUAUAAUUAUUUUGAAAAAAAUUUAUUAUGAUAAACUUUUUAUUAAUACAUCUCUUAUUUAUUUUAAUCAAAACAAUAUUUUUAAUUGAUAUUAUUGUUUUUGUUAAAAACAAAAAUAUUUUAUAAUUGUUAAAACAAGUUAACAAAAAAUAUCAAAAUAGUAUAUUUAUAAUUGAAAUUUUAAAAAAUCAUAAAUAUAAUACAGUUAUUUCUAGAAUACAUUUAAAAAAUUUAAUUAUAAAACACCAAGUUCAUUAAUUGAAUCUUCAUCAAUAAUUUAUUAUUAUUAUUAUUAUGGGAAAAACUGAAAAAGAAAGAGCAAAGGGCUAGGCGGCCCUAAUCUAUUUAUUUUCUUUUAACGAAGGUGAAUACAUAACUUCAAUAUUAUCCGUUCUUCAAUAUUGUUUUAAUACAUAACUUCAAUAUAAUCAAUAUUAUUAAACAAUUUUAAAAGUUAAAUUGAUAAGGAAAAAGUUAUACUUUGAAAAUACAAAUUAUACUUUGAAAAUCCUAGAUUGUUAUAUAAUCAAUAUUAUUAAACAAUUUAAAAAAUAAAAUUAAUUUUUUUUCAAGGUAUAAUCCUUUUAAAAAUACAAAUUAUACUUUGAAAAAACUAACUUCCCAGGCACAUACUAAGAGUGUGUUUGGUAUUGCGGUAGCUGUUGUGGUUGUGGUUUGAAAAAAGUUGUUUUAUAAAAAGUACUUUUAGUUGAGGUUGAUUUGAAAAAAUAGGUGUUUGGUUAAAACUGUGGUUGAAAUUGAGGUUGAAGAAAAAGUAGUUUAAUGUGUUUGGUUAAAAGAAUGUUUUUCAAAUUGAGGUUAUAAAAUAAUAUAUAUGUAUUGAUGGUUUUUAAUUUAAAUAUUGUAGAUUUAACUACUAUUAUUACAUUAUGAAAUAAAUAAUAUUGAUAUCAAAUAUUUUUUAUUAUUCCAUUAAACUAUGUGCAAUUUCAUCACGUACGAAAUAUAUCCAACAAUGACUAUAUUUUCCAUGGUUUCUUAAGUGCGCAACAACAAAAACUGAAUUUUUUGUUACGUCAUCAAACGAUCUCCUUCUAAUUUUUUGAAUAAAACACAAUUACAAAUAAAAAUAAAAACUGAAUUUUUUUAACUGGGUCGGACCCGGCAAGAACAUGAUUGGGCUUGCGAUCAAAUUCUGUAAAUGUUACGUCAUCAAUUGAUCUCCCUUUUAAUUUAUGUAGUGUUACUAAAUAAUAUUAAACACUAGUUUUUUGAGUAAAAUAUAUUUUUUAAAAAAAAAUAAUUUUUUUUAAAGUAAGUAGAUAUUCACCUGGCACUGUUCACGUGAACAGUGCCAAGGUGACUUAUAUUUAGCUGGACACCCAGGUGAAUAUAAUUCACCUGGACACUGUUCACUUGGAGUGAACAGUGUCCAGGUGAAUUAUAUUCACCUGCAGACGUGAGAAGCAGCUCCCAGCUGCUUCUCAUGAAACGGUGUUUCAACAAAAAUGUCUAUGGGUCCCACAUGAAAAGCAGGUGAGUUUUUAUGUUACCAAACGUAAUGUUUACGCGGUGAGCUUUAAAAGCAAAAGCUACCGCGUAAACAAACACCCUCUAAGAAGGAUUAACCUUGACAUUUUCAUGACCAACAUAAAAACAUCACAUAUCCAUUAUAGUGUCCUUUAAAAUUUUAACACAUAUUAAACAAAACCACAAUGAUUUAAAAUUUACCUCCCAACAUAACAGAGGGGUCAACUUUGCUUUCUAAUCAAAAGUCUAAGGACUCAAAUUGAUUUUAAAAACAUGCCAAAAUAGUAAUUGAUCAAGAAAUUAAAAAGUCAUUCAACAUAUUAUUAAAGGGAGAAGUAUCGAUUUAUAUAUAAUUCCUUUUUUAUAUAUAUAUAUAUAUCAAAUUAACAUUUGCAGCUAAGAUGUUAAGGUGAUGAGUUUUGACAAAAAAAUAAAAAUAAUUUGGGAAUGUUUUUGCAACAAUGGAUAGACUAAAAGGAUAAAGCUUCAUCUAGACCUUUUAAUAAUUGGACGUCAUGACCGACCCAUUUACUCACAUUAAUUAAUCAAUAAUUUUAUUAAGACAAAGUAGGUUUCAACUAUAGUAAAAGGGUUGAUAUAUAUCACUAUUUUUCUCACUUGUUCAUUUUAAAAAUAUUUAAAGUAUUGGUGAAGCAUUGAGAAGACGAUACCAUUUUUAUGUAUUCAUGGUCAUCCAAGUAACAUGUUAUAAGUGGUCUUGGCCUCUAUGACUUGAAAAAGUGCAUUGAACUUCGUAUCUUUCAUGGAUAUCACAAGUUUUAUCUUUUUCAUGGUGUUUUUCCCUUCUUAAUUAAAGUCUUGAAUCAUCAUAUGACUUAAAAAGAGUUCAUCUAUAGGAAUCCAAAGCUCUUUUAUAGUUUUAAGAAAUAGUAUAUCAAUAUCUUAACCAUCAUCCACCAAAAUACAAUUCACCAUCUUUUCAAAGAUGUAACCUUUGAUAAAAAAAAAUGGCGAUUAUAGAGGUAGUUUAUCAAUAUUUAUGGAAGAUUCUGGUUGCAAAAAUGCUAACUAAACUUGUUAAUUGGCUGAAAUAGAUGAAGUGGGUGAUGAGUUGCUUGCUAAAGAACGGUGUAUAGUGAAAGAUAUUUUUGAGACAGGUCCCCAAUCCUCAUCCCAUGAAGCGCUGCUCUUUGCUGCUGAUGCAACAAUACCACUUGUUUUGCUCGAGGCUUCUAGCUAAACCCCAUUAGGAACAAAUGAUGACUUUACCUCUGAAAUUCCAGAAUCAGUUACUGUAACUCCUCUUUUCUUUUUUAUCAGCCUAUGAUAAAUGCCCAAAGUCAUAAAAAAAUGGGCAAUUUCUUUAGUAUGUUCAAGAAAAAAACAUAAAUAGACAUAAUUGAUAUCUCUUAAACGUUGGUACAUGUACUGCACACCACAACCUAUUUAUCCUACCUGUUUACUAAGUUUUUAUAUUUGUUUUAUUUUUAAUUUUAGUUCUUAAACAUUUAAUAGUUCUAUAUUAGCUGAAUUUUGUUUUACCCAUCAAAACCAAGUAUUAACUAUGCCUCAUAAUUUUUUUAUAUAAAUAUUGUAAGAUCCCUAUGUCAAAGCAUCCAAAACAAACUAUCAAGUUAAUCUCAAAUAAAGUCAAUGUAAAGAGAUUAAAUUGAAAAAAAAACAAGUUAAGGGACCAAAAUAAAAUACAGGACAUGAACUUCCCCCUAACCAUACAAAUCAAUCCCUAAUUUUGACAAAACAAAAACUAAAUAUUUCUUUAAUUUUCAAAUUUGGUUAUUUAAGUUAUAAUUAUUUGAAAUCAAUAAAAUUGAAAUUAGCUUUCCCAAAAUCGAGAAUUAACCAAGAGAUUAAACAGUUAAGGGACCAAAAUAAAAAACAGGACAUGAACUUUUCCCUAACCAUACAAAUCAAUCCCUAAUCUUGACGAAAAAACUAAAUAUAUUUUUAAUCUUUAAAUUUGGUUAUUUAAAUUAUAAUUAUUUGAAAUCAAUAAAAUUAAAUUUUGCUUUUCCAAAUGAAGCAUUAACCAAGAGAUUAAACAUUUUCUUGACACAUCAAGAAUCUAACAAAUAAUCAAGAUCAAUCAUAAAGCAAAGCAAUGUUAAAGGAUUGAUUACUUUUUUCUUUAGGAAAAUAAGAAUUGAAUUAAAUUAUAAAACUAGAUGAUAAUUGUUAUUUAGUAGAAUUACCAGCUGAAAUGAACAUUAUUUUAUCAUCAAUUAUAAAAUAUAUAUUUUUGUAAAAUUGGUAUAUAUUUUUAAUAGUUUGUUACUUUAGUACUUGGUUAGUCUAAAUAUAAAAAUAAUACGAAUUACACAUGGAGCACAUAUCAUAAUAACUUAAAAAAAAAAAAAAAAACAGUACGAUUCAUUUCAUUACCAGGGAAGUAAUCAUGCUAGCCAUUUUUUUACUUAUUACACUUUAAAAAGGUUACGAUUUUGGUUUGGAAGACCCAAACAAGUAACUUUAGGAAGCCCAUCCAUUUGACAGGGUACCGUUGCCAUUGACAAGUCCAUUGGCCGACGUAUUUGGUAUUGACCCCAAAGUCUUCUCACAUGCUCCUGUUUCUUGAUCAAUAAUUGGUAUUGACCCCAAAGUCUUCUCACAUUCACAUAUUUCUUGAUCAAACCAUCUUUCAUUUAGAUAACGGUGACAUUAGAUUGUCUGUAAGAAUUUACUUGAAGGAGUAGGAGAAGGCAAUAGACAAGAAAAAUCGUCUCUCAUCAUCAACAAUAUUCAGCUUCUUCUUUGUAUUAUUUGCUGAUGGAAAACACAACUGUUCUUAUGAUCUGUUGGUAAGUCUUUCUGGUUCAUGCGUCUUCUUUAUUUAAGAUUAUAUAUACGAGUUUGAUAAAUUUGUUUCAUGAACGUAUUAAUUCUUCCAUCUGUAAUUCUUUUUGCUCAGCUAGUGACUGUUCUUGCAAUGAAAGUAAUAGCAAGCUAGCAUUGGUAGCAAGUGACGAGUGAUCAUGUUAAGAUUGAUCAUAUCAAAUUAAGCUAGUAUAUAUCCAUCAUUAAGAGUUUGAGGAAUUUUCUGAUAAAUAUAAGUUGUGUGGGUUCUUGUACUAUUAGACUUCAAUUUCUCUUAACGAAUGUUCAGCUUUUGAAGUGGGGUGCUCUUUGUAUGUCUUUAGGAGAAAAAGGAGAGCACUUCUUGAUUUCGAUUCUUAGUGAUUGAGGAAGACACGAUCUUGUAACUGCCUGAUAUGGCAUCUUCAUCUGCUGUUGCUCAUAAAUGGAAGUAUGAUGUGUUCCUUAGUUUUAGAGGCAAGGAUACGCGCAAUAAUUUUACCAGCCAUCUUUAUGAUGCUUUGUGUCGUAAGAAAAUCAAGACAUUCAUUGAUGAUGGACUUGAAAGAGGAGAAGAAAUUACCCCUGCCCUUCUGAAAACGAUUGAAGAAUCAAGAAUUUCUGUAGUAAUUUUCUCCAAGAACUACGCAUCUUCUCCGUGGUGUGUGGAUGAACUGGUGAAAAUACUUGAAUGCAAAGAGACUUAUGGGCAGAUUGUUUUACCGGUCUUCUAUCAUGUGGACCCAUCUGAUGUUGAUGAACAGACUGGGAGUUUUGGAAAUGCAUUUGCUGAGCUUGAAAAAAAUUUCAAGUGGAAGAUGGACAAGGUGCCAAGGUGGAGGGCUGACUUGACAUACGCAGCCAGUAUAUCUGGAUGGGAUUCACAGGUUACUAGGUAACUAUAGAUUCUCUUCUUCAACCUUUUUUUUCCUGGAAUUAUAGCAAUUAAAAUUUAUUUAUAGCAAUUAAAAUUUCUUGUGCAUAUUAUAGUUUAUGUUUUUCUCCUGUAAAUCAUUUGUGCUUCAUAGUUCAUGAAAACUAACUUCCAUCAACAGCUAAUGGACUUGCACCUUAAUGGUACAAUACCGAAGGGGGAGAUCUUGAGUUCAAAACCUCACCUUUGACAACAUUUGCUUAUAAUAAAAAAAGAUUCACCAGUUUCUUAUAGAUUUUUCAUUCGACGUAAAGAUACAAUUUGAGUUAAAGAUGCUUCUUUCAUUUUUUGCAGUCCGGAGUCCAAACUAGUAAGAGAAGUUGUGCAAACUAUCUGGAAAAGGUUAAAUCGUGCAUCCCCAAGCAAAUUAAGAGGUCUGGUUGGAGUACAUUCACGUAUUGAGAAAAUCAACAAUUUACUAUCUACUGUGCCAUCAGAUGUACACACAAUAGGAAUUUGGGGCAUGGGUGGUAUAGGCAAGACAACUAUUGCGGAAGCUUUCUUCUAUAGCAUCUCAAGUCAAUAUGAAGGCUGCCACUUUCUUCCGAACAUAAGGCAGGAAUCAGAAAAGGGUCGAUUAAAUGAUCUACGAGAUGAACUUCUUUCUAAACUACUGGAGGAAGAAAAUCUUGGCGUUGGCACACCACAUAUAGGACCUACUUUCAUCAGGGAUAGACUCUGCCAAAAGAAAGUUCUCCUUGUUUUGGAUGAUGUGAAUGAUGUACGACAAUUCCAGUAUUUAAUUGGAGAGCGUUCGUUUGGCGAAGGAAGCGUUGUUGUUGUAACAUCAAGAGACAAGCAAGUACUUAAGAAUGUAGCUGAUGAAAUAUACGAGGUUGAGGAAUUAAACUCCCACGAAGCUCUUCAACUCUUUAGCUUGAAUGCUUUUAAGGGAAACCACCCCCCAAAAGCUUAUAUGGAGUUGUCAAUCACGGCAAUAAAUUAUGCCAAAGGGAACCCAUUAGCUCUUCGAGUUUUGGGUUCCUUCUUAUUCCGCAGAGAAAGACAUUUUUGGGAAUCUCAAUUAAAUAACAUCGAAAGCUUUCCCGAGCUGAACAUUUAUGACUUGCUGAGAAUAGGUUUUGAUGCACUACGUGAUAAUAACACGAAGAGUAUAUUUCUGGACAUUGCAUGUUUCUUUAGAGGGCAUCAAGUUGAUUUUGUAAAGCGGAUACUAGAUGGCUGCGGUUUCAAAACAGAUAUUGGAUUUAGUGUUCUCAUUGACAGGUGUCUCAUUAAAAUUUCAGAUGACAAGGUUGAAAUGCAUGAUCUUUUGCAAGAAAUGGCCCAUGAAGUUGUUCGAAAAGAAUCUCUUAACGAGCUAGGAGGACAAAGCAGAUUGUGGAGUCCUAAAGAUGUAUAUCAAGUGUUGACCAAUAAUCAGGUGAGAUUCAUAUACACGAAAGUUUUCCUUUUCAUAUGCAAUGCAAUAUGGUUGUACUAGUAAGUUUAAAAUCUUACUUAAAACUUUGUUUCUCCUUCACUGGUUUUCAGGGAACUGGAAAAGUUGAAGGGAUAUUCUUGGAUGUUUCAAAAAUAAGAGAAAUUGAGUUGAGUUCUACUGCCUUGGAAAGGAUGUAUAAACUUAGACUGCUAAAAAUUUAUAAUUCUGAAGCUGGAGUUAAAUGCAGAGUGCACCUUCCUCAUGGCCUCGAGUCUCUUUCUGAAGAGUUGAGGUAUCUCCAUUGGGAUGGAUACCCUUUGACAUCUUUGCCUAGCAAUUUUCGUCCACAGAACCUUGUUGAAAUUAACCUAUCAUGUAGCAAGGUUAACCAACUGUGGAGAGGAGACCAGGUAUUCUAAAAUAACUCCAUGCAUGCAUAGUUCUUUCUUUGAAAUUUAUUGUGGUAUGCACUUGUAAUUUCUUUCUGUUGAUUUCAUUUUGCUUCAGAAUCUCGUCAAUUUAAAAGAUGUCAACCUCAGCAAUUGCGAGCACAUAACUUUCAUGCCAAACCUUUCAAAGGCCAGAAACCUUGAGAGAUUGAAUCUUCAAUUCUGUACAAGUUUGGUUAAGUUUCCUUCAUCUGUUCAGCAUCUGGACAAGCUUGUUGAUUUAGAUUUGAGAGGCUGCAAAAGACUAAUCAAUCUUCCCAGUAGAUUUAAUUCAAGUUUUCUGGAGACUCUGAACCUUUCUGGUUGUUCAAAUAUCAAGAAGUGCCCAGAGACUGCAAGGAAACUGACAUAUUUAAAUUUAAAUGAGACUGCUGUUGAAGAGCUUCCCCAAUCAAUUGGGGAACAAAGUGGACUUGUUGCGUUGAAUUUGAAAAACUGCAAACACCUGGUUAAUCUUCCAGAAAACAUUUAUUUGUUGAAAUCUCUUCUCAUAGCUGACUUCUCUGGCUGCUCAUCUAUCAGCAGGCUUCCUGAUUUUUCGAGGAAUAUAAGAUACUUGUACUUGAAUGGAACUGCAAUAGAAGAACUGCCAUCUUCAAUUGGUGGUCUAAGGGAACUUAUUUAUUUAGAUCUAGUUGGCUGCAACUUGCUAAAGAAUCUGCCGAGUGCGGUUUCUAAGUUGGGAUGCCUUAAAAAACUUGAUCUUUCCGGUUGCUCAAGUGUCACGGAGUUUCCAAAGGUUUCUAAUACUAUAAAGGAGCUGUAUUUAAAUGGGACAGCAAUACGAGAGAUUCCCUCUUCAAUAGAAUGUUUGUUUGAUCUUGCUGAAUUGCACCUGCGAAACUGCAAACAAUUUGAGAUUCUUCCAAGCAGCAUCUGCAAGUUGAGAAAACUGGAGAGGCUUAAUCUCUCAGGUUGCGUCCAAUUUCGGGAUUUUCCAGAAGUUUUGGAGCCGAUGGUAUGUUUGAGAUAUCUCUAUUUAGAACAGACAAGCAUAACAGAGUUGCCUUCACCGAUUGGAAAUCUGAUGGGACUUGCCUGCUUGGAAGUGGGAAACUGCAAAUAUCUAAAAGACAUCGAAUGUUUUGUUGACUUGCAAUUGCCCGAGAGAUGCGUGGAUUUAGAUUCUUUGCGUAAGCUAAAUCUAGAUGGUUGCAGUCUAUCGGAAGUGCCGGACAGUCUUGGUCGUUUUUCGUCACUAGAAGUGUUAGAACUAAGUGGAAACAAUUUUCAGACUAUACCUAUAAGCAUCAAUAAACUCUUUGAGUUGCAAUAUCUCGGAUUAAGGAAUUGCACGAGACUUGAAUCAUUACCGGAGCUUCCACCACGGCUAUCAAAGUUGGAUGCAGACAAUUGCGAGAGUUUGCAUUAUCUAGUAUCAAGCUCAUCAACUGUAGUUGAGGGGAACAUUUUUGAAUUCAUUUUCACUAAUUGCUCGAGAUCGCGUUGGUUCAAUCAAAUCUUGGCGUACUCAUUAUUGAAAUUUCAACUUUACACCAAAAGGUUAUACCAUCAGGUUUGUUUCUCAAACCUCUGAUAUACAUCUUUUUUUCUUUGCCACCUUUCAUUUAAAAAAGAUGCUAUUUGAGUUGUGUUUACAGCUGCCCGAUGUUCCAGAAGGGGCAUGUAGUUUCUGCCUCCCUGCAAAUGCGACUCCGGAGUGGUUUAGCCAUCAAAGUUGGGGAUCUACAGUAACAUUCCAGCUAUCUUCACAUUGGGCUAAUAGCCAGUUCUUGGGUUUCUCUCUUUGCGCUGUCAUUGCAUUUUAUUCUGUCAGCUAUGGUUUGCAAGUUAAAUGUACAUAUCACUUCCGCAAUGAGCACGGUGAUAGCCAUGAUCUCUAUUGUUAUCUCCAUGGUUGGUAUGAUGAGAAGCGAAUCAACUCAGCACACAUAUUGGUGGGGUUUGAUCCCUGUCUGGUUGCCAAAGAAGAUUAUAUGUUUAGUGAAUACAGUGAGGUCUCUAUUGAGUUCCAACCGGAAGAUAUGAACGGCAUUCUUUUAGCAUUAGAUGUUUGUGAAGUAAAUGAGUGUGGGGUUCGUCUACUGUAUGAAGAUGAGAUACAUCCCUUUGAUUUGAUCAUGCCAGGCUCCUCUCGUUUUCAUCCUCUGGAUCGAGAUGGAUUGGAAGCAAGGUUCCAAGCCAAGAGAGCAAGGUUCCAAGCCA